CUAAGGCGAGGCAGAAAUGCGUAGUCGAUGGGAAGCAGGUUAAUAUUCCUGCACCAGUGGGUAGUGACGGAUCUCGUGUGUCGUCAGUCCUUAUCGGAUUGAACUGGCGGCGAAGAGGUCCCUGGAAAUAGCUCCCACAUUAGACCGUACCCCAAACCGACACAGGUGGGUGGGAUGAGAAUUCUAAGGCGCUUGAGAGAACUCGGGUGAAGGAACUCGGCAAAAUGACACCGUAACUUCGGGAGAAGGUGUGCCCAUUUGAGUGAAGGACUUCGCGUCUGGAGCUUAGGUGGGUUGCAGAAACCAGGGGGUAGCGACUGUUUACUAAAAACACAGGUCCGUGCCAAGUCGCAAGAC
This 357-nucleotide ribosomal RNA is filed under the name Schmidingerella taraikaensis. Its description in RNAcentral is "partial Bacterial large subunit ribosomal RNA". It matches the Rfam family "Bacterial large subunit ribosomal RNA", at positions 1391 to 1839 of the family's 2925-position model. The record is from RNAcentral. Lineage: Eukaryota; Ciliophora; Spirotrichea; Tintinnida; Rhabdonellidae.